CCUACGGGAGGCAGCAGUGGGGAAUAUUGGGCAAUGGACGCAAGUCUGACCCAGCAACGCCGCGUGAAGGAAGAAGGCUUUCGGGUUGUAAACUUCUUUUAAGGGGAAGAGCAGAAGACGGUACCCCUUUAAUAAGCCACGGCUAACUACGUGCCAGCAGCCGCGGUAAUACGUAGGUGGCAAGCGUUGUCCGGAUUUACUGGGGUUAAAGGGCGUGCAGCCGGAGAGACAAGUCAGAUGUGAAAUUCACGGGCUCAACCCGUGAACUGCAUUUGAAACUGUUUCCCUUGAGUGUCGGAGAGGUAAUCGGAAUUCCUUGUGUAGCGGUGAAAUGCGUAGAUAUAAGGAAGAGCACCAGUGGCGAAGGCGGAUUACUGGACGAUAACUGACGGUGAGGCGCGAAAGCGUGGGGAGCAAACAGGAUUAGAUACCCGUGUAGUC
Molecule: ribosomal RNA, 441 nt
Filed under: uncultured bacterium
Lineage: Bacteria
Description: partial 16S ribosomal RNA
Rfam family: Bacterial small subunit ribosomal RNA
Source: RNAcentral